Molecule: ribosomal RNA, 393 nt
Filed under: uncultured bacterium
Lineage: Bacteria
Description: partial 16S ribosomal RNA
Rfam family: Bacterial small subunit ribosomal RNA
Source: RNAcentral
AUACGGAAGGUCCGGGCGUUAUCCGGAUUUAUUGGGUUUAAAGGGAGCGCAGGCUGAUGAUUAAGCGUGACGUGAAAUGUAGCCGCUCAACGGCUGAACUGCGUCGCGAACUGGUUAUCUUGAGUGAGUUCGAUGUUGGCGGAAUUCGUGGUGUAGCGGUGAAAUGCUUAGAUAUCACGAAGAACUCCGAUUGCGAAGGCAGCCAACAAGGCCUUUACUGACGCUAAAGCUCGAAGGUGCGGGUAUCGAACAGGAUUAGAUACCCUGGUAGUCCGCACGGUAAACGAUGGAUGCCCGCUGUUUGCGAUAUACUGUGAGCGGCCAAGAGAAAUCGUUAAGCAUCCCACCUGGGGAGUACGCCGGCAACGGUGAAACUCAAAGGAAUUGACGGGG